UAAAAAAGGAAAGAAAGAAAAAUAGUGUUAUUACAGGUUCCUCAGAGACUGUUGGGAGGGGGAGUGUUGGUGGAAAGGAAAGAAGGCAGGUGAAAGGGAUCUUGAAUGAGACUUUGAAGCUUACCAGGAAAAGUAUGUUUUGUGACAGUUACCAUAGUUCAUUUGUGUUUCUGUCCUUGUUUUCAGAAUUUUCCCCAGAGAAUACCUCCUUCAACAGAUCCACCUGUAUUCCCUUGCUGAUCUGCAGCAGGUGAUAGAGGGGAAGCUGGCUCCAUUCUUGGGCAAGGUCAUUAAAUUUGCCACCUCACACGUGUACAGCUGCAGUCUUUGUAGCCAAAAGGGGUUCAUCUGUGAAAUCUGUAACAAUGGAGAGAUCCUCUACCCUUUUGAGGAUAUUUCAACAAGCAGGUGUGAAGGCUGUGGAGCCGUUUUCCACUCGGAAUGCAAAGAAAAGUCCGUGCCCUGCCCGAGGUGUGUCCGCCGAGAGCUGCAGAAGAAGCAGAAGUCUUUCUGGCGGAGGCUGAACAUGGACGAGAGCCUGGAGGAGGCUUGCACCAUGUUCGAGCUGUCCUACCAGAGCACCUGACUCCACAGGAGCCCGGGCCAGGGACUGACCUCUCACCGAUCCAUCAGCCCGGCGGCUUCCUGCGCCGCCAGUUAGACCCCUUGGGAGGAGGACUAUGCCUCAUCUUCAGCUAGCUAUAGAUACAUAUUUACAUACAUGUACACACAUGCCGAUACGUCCCGUCUGUACGUUCUGUGUAAAUUGCUGUCCAAAAGGUCCGCACAGCCCCUGUGGCUCAGAGAAACGGCCAGUAGCUGAACUGCACUUAGCCAUGACUUUCAGCAGUUUGUUCCCAAGUGAAACCGUGGUUUACACACAAUGCUUUACAUAGUUCAUAUUUUUUUCCCUAGUUUUGUUUUGCUUUAUUGUUGUUUGGCUCUCAGGAGCCAUUUGAGUACGCAGGACACAGGAGGAAGCAUUUCCCACAGAAGCACGGAACUUCGGGUUCGGUUUGUGUUAUUUAUUCUGAGCCUUCACAGAGGAUACAGUAACUGAGGCAAGCCCUCCUGGGCGUCUGUGUCACAAGAAAUUUCCAGAACAUGGGGAUGGACGACUCCGGGUCACCGCAGUUUGUCCCGCACAGGUGGGGACCGCCUCAGCUGAGCCGAGCGGCCCAGAAAUGAGGAGUGGGGGCUCCCUCUGACAGAAAGCAUGCACCCGUACUUUAUGAGGAGAGCUCCUUCUGGUUUGGAAGUUAAUCUCAGGGGUUUUUUUCCUGAGGGGAAACAGAGAGAGAGAGACCUCUGCGACAUGUUGCCGGUCUGUUUGCUGGUACAAUCCCCAGCGCCACCUAAGGGUGUGACGCCCCAGCACAUUUGGGGGAAAACAUGGCUUUCUGAAGAGCAGUUUUCCCAGGGUUUUAUGGGUAAUAUUUAUGAUUUUCUUACACGGUGCUGGCCUGAGGAAAUUUCCUACAAUUGUGGUCAAACACAUGGGUUUGUAGACCGUGGUGAUCGUACACACAUUCUGUGGGACGACGUUCAGUUUCUUGUCACAGGAUCUUAUACAGACAUUCCCUACCUAUUUAUUUUAAAUGCUUUAUUUCUCAUUGUUCCUCAUUGCACUUUCACUUUGGCCUUUAAUUUGUCAAUUUAACCACUUCUGCUUUCACAUUUUUAAAAUUGUUUACAAAAUCAAAGUCACAUGGGACUUCAAAACACCAAUGUUAGACUCUUAAGAAAAUACCAAACUUACAAAUAUAAUUAAUGAACUAAAUGUGAUAAUAUUGUUUAAAUAGGUGUAUAUAUACAUACACACACACACACACAAUUGCCACCUUGAUGUGAAACAAAAGUGCUAAAAUCGUAUCCUAGAAAUAGGAAACAUAAUGAAUCACUUCACCACUCGGUAGAGCCAUGCCCCCCGCCCCCCGCCCCCCGCCAGGCCUGAGCUGACGUGGUAACCAAAAUGUCAGGCAAGCCGGCGCUGGCAGUCAACGCUCCGUUCCUUCCACCACACUCUUCCCAGAGCAGAAAGAUACACUGAUAAUGAAGCAACUUUCAACAGGCCAUAUGAGAAGAUUCUGUAUGUUUCCACUGAGCAGACCCCUCCAAGGCCUUCGUGGUUUGGUAGUGUCACUGCUGUUGGGACCUAGGGACUCAGUGACUCACGAAGCACAGGAUACAUUUAACCCCGUCACUGCUUCGCCCCCGCACCUUACUCCCUCCAGAUCCUAACUCUUGAUACCUCUGUCCAUGUAGACACGUGCCAUUCCAGAUUGACUUUUGCGCGGACUGCUGGAUACAAACAUUUCACCUCUCAACCCACACCAGUUCCUUUGGCCCCGGACCACACAUUUCCGCUUACUAGCUCGCCACCACACACACACAUCUUUUCUGACUCUGCAGCAGCUGCAACCAAGGGCACAAAAACUUGUUACGAGGCCAAGACCCCAUUCAUGAGGCACCUUACGGUGCCUUUUAUUCGCGGAAAAAAACAGGUUGACUUCCCCCCGCCCCAACUCCAGUCAUAGAGAACAUUGCACACAAAGAUAAAGGGUGGAAAAUCUCAAACAAGCACUUGGCUAACAGGCAAACAAAUUUGAUCCUCUCCCCCUUUUCCCUCCCCUUCGUGAAAUACAGUAUUUAUAUUUUCCAGCCUCAGAGAAGAUAGCAGAACAUGAUCUUUCACAAGAGAAUUAUAGACCUGCUUAUUAUAAAACAGAUGUGCUCUGAUGGCAAAGUGCCUUCUCCCUCCGCCCGCAGCUCCCCGGCCUGCAGCUUACUUCUGCCCGCGCUGUAAUUAACGUGCCGGUGAUCGGCUGGUCAGCGAGGCCGGCUCCAGCACCCUGCACUGGGGGGCCCGAAGUGCGCGCCCCCCCGCCCCCUGUAGCGUGCUUGCUCUACGUACAGAAUCUCCUGUCCCACCUCCUAGGCACCUAGCAUCAGGCCUGCCAAGAGGGGGACAUUGGACCCCUGUUCUAAAGGCCUUUGUUCUCACGGACGCCCCUUUAGAGGGCCUUGCUCAACACUGGCAUUCCCUGCACACUCCAAAGGACACCUUUCUACCCACAUCAUUUUCUGAUUAUUUUCAAAAGGAAAAAAAAAAACACGUAGACGUACUAUCGCCAUCGGCUACCCAGAAGCAGAACGGCAUCCCAGCUGCUUCUGUUUUCUCGCCUUUUCUAUGUCCCUGACGGCCUGGCCGGCGCUGUCCGCUGGCCCACACAGCGGUCAGCCACCACCACCAAAAUCUGAUAGGACAGAGUGGAGCCAGCUUACGAAUUGGGUCUGUCAUGAAAAUUCAAAAUUGCUAUUUUCCAGCCCAGAAAUGCCUUAGAGCACAUGAACGCCCUUACUGUUUUCAACCCAAACAAAUGAGUCGGUACAGUUAGGUAAUUGUCCCACGGCUUAGAAACUGUCGAAACAAAAGCAGAUCUGUGGAUUGCCACCUCCUUAAGAUCCAAGCUAAUACCUGCCUUCCCUCCCGCUCCCUUUCUCAUCCCAUAUUAAAUAUCUCACACAUAAAACACAUGAGAAAAUGGCCAAUUAAUCUCCUAGAGCCCGCGCCUGACUCUGGGGAAACUCUUUUCACUUGAAAGGCCCAUUCCCUGGUGUAUCACUUGAGGAAAUCCCUCCUAACAGUGCCAGAAACGCGUGUGUGAGACAGUCCGACCCUGGUACAAUGUUGGCAUCCAACGCUGCAGUGGAGAAGCCAGUUCCCAAAAUAGAGCUCAGUUGUACGGCUGCAGGAAGGCCACAAAGCACUUUAAAAGCAGUCAACUGGAAUCGAGUCGUGUUCUUUCCGGGGCUGAUUUUCCCCAAAGUUGAAAGCCUCUUUGUAUGAAAGCCAUGUAAACUCUCCUUGUGCCCCUUUGCCUUGCUGCCUUUCCAGGGGACUGAGUUCCAGCCAUUUCCAUAUCUGUAGCCCUAAACGGUAAUAUUUUAGGAGCUUGAAUACUUGAUUAGCUGAGAAGGUAAUCACUUUUUAAUUCUACUAGACCAGACUGCCACCAAAAAAAAGGGGGGCGGGGGGAAUAUGAUAAAUGUUUGGGAUUUGUGGUUUCCAGCUAACUCAGUGGUACUUCAGACUCCUGCAAGGGAACUGUGCCAUGAUUUCCUCCUGGCUGCAGUGAGAACCCCGGUGUUGACCUCGCUCUAGCUGCCCUAGACAGCCUUUGCUAAACAGAUGAGUGAGUCCACUCGGAUGAGCUCUGACCUCCAGCUUUGUCUCUGCAUGGGUACACACUGAAUACACACUGAACACUGACCCUGGACAGUUUCUUCCUGUGCUUCCUUGAAAAGGCGUGGCUUCCAGACCUGUGGGUUUGCCCCCUACCUGUUGGCCAAAAAACGUCAUGCGUAAAUUAUCAUAUCAGGACACGACUGGAUACCACACUGAACACUUCUGCAAAGAGAGGUGUUACUGGAGGAGGCCAAGAUAUGUUUUGUUCCUAAUUUAGGGUAAAGCCAAUGCUGCUGUUCACAAGUUUGGGCAGAAUUCUUCAUCUCCACUGUUCUGCUGCACUUAUUGGAAUAACUGGAUUCAGAAAUCAAUCUUCUGCUCUUGAUUCUAAUAUUCUCUAGAGUCAGUUCAGAGGUGAUUUUAUUUUAUUUUUAUACUUCUCCCACUAAAGAGAGUUGCAUACAGUUUUCCCCCUUAUUUUUUGAAUUUUCUGUCUCAAUACUUUUCUUACUCUUAAAAUAACAUCAAAAAGUAGAGAACUGGGGGCAAAACUGAAAGAAAUGAACUCUCUCUCCUUGGCAUGAAUUGAGUCUGUAGAGGUACUGUUUUCCUUCCCUUGGUACUUGUUAACAACUGAGCAUUCCUGCAUUAUCCACUGUGGACCAUUCUUCUGACCUGAGUCUAGUACAGCUCACUCACUGCUCUAGGUUGAGCCCAGGAUGGGUGAAAAGCUCUACUUGAUUGAUGUAAGCAGACAAGUGUUGAUUUCUAUCAUGGGGGACAGUUGAGUCCUAGCACCCAGCACUUCCUAAAGGUAGACAAUUCUAAUUUCAUUGUAUUCAGACCCUCUGACUUGAGGGGUUUUCUUUCGUGUGUCUUAGUGGAUGCACGCCAAGGUAAAGUCGAAGUCACUGUUAAACUCUAGGUAAAAGUCAAAGGUGUGGAAUGUCCUCCUCAGCACACCCGUUGUUGUCAGAGGCUUUAUUUAAAGUGGGUUCCUGAUGGUCACGUUACGUGGCACUCUCCUCAAGUGACCUCCGAUGUGGUGGAAGUCAGUGUUAAGCACAAGGGAAGGGACAACAGCUGUUUUGUUUUGGUUCCUCCCUGUGGAAAGAGAAGCCAUCUUGUCAGGAGGUGUGAAAGAAGCCACAAUCGUUGCCUAGGGUAGAAGGUUCAGGCGCCUACAGCAGUUCGCUUGUAGCACAGUGAAGACUCCUUUCUCCUGGCCAUAGCGUUGCAGACCAGCCUCUCUCCCCCACCCUUGAUCUUCCCCGCCCUAGUCCAGAGUCCAGGCCAGCUUCAGGCCUCAGGGCUGUAACCCGACCGGCAGACCUGGAGUGGGUGCCCCCUCUCCCACCUGCCUUUCCCAGUAGGAGUGCCUUACAGUACUGCCUAGUGCUUCUAGUCUCCUCUGCUCUCCACUUGAAGCCUGCAGGGCCCUUCACCUAGACCCGGGUCACUUUGCUUCCUCCCUGCUGGCCACUCUUUUUACAGAUGCUCUCGGAACCUGCAUAUUCCACAUGCAUGUCAGACUUUCACCCUUGUUUAACCUGGUGCCUUAACCUCACGAGUAAAGGAUUCCGUUGGGAAGACACGGUUAAUGUGGAAGGGUAGAAACACGGGCUUCUUAGCUCCAUCGACACUUUUACCAGGAAAUACAAAAGACACAACUGCAUAAUAUUUGAACUUUGUGUUAGGCUGGUUUUUUGUUUUUUUUUUUGUAAUCACUCUUUUUAUUUGUUUGUUUGCUUGCUUUCAUGAACCAAACUCAGGGGAAUGUCAUGAUGUUACCAUAGCCAAUGAGUAGAGAUUAUCCGGAUUUGAAUCUGUAAAGUUGGUGAACUUAGCCUCCUUCAGGCUAAAAAAUUAUACAAAAACAAUUUUCUUUUCUUUUACCGUAUAAAGGUUUUCCUUUUACGCUUUGCCACCUGUUUUCCAGGUAGAAAGUAGGAAGCCUCUUGAGUACAUUGUGAUGAAAGCGUUUCCAUGUGGCAUGGACAGUCUAGUGAGCUAUUAAGUUCCACUUUUGCCGCUGGAGGCCUAGGUUCUGAUUUCGGUCACCUACCAGAAUCUUGUUUUGAAUGGGCAGAAGCACACUGUAGAAGAUUGGGGGCUGGGGGCAAGAGGAAUCUGUCUUAAAUGAACAGUACAAGGAGGGAAAAUGUUUAAUUUGCAAACGAAGAGCAUCGAACAUGGUGGUCGGCGCACAAGACUUCCACUCAACUUGUUCUCCUGCUCCUGGGUCAGAUCCGUGUCGUCCUCCCUCCUUUCUGCUCAUGCAUGACAGAACUCACUAGAAUUCUGGGUUUGGGCAAUUAUCUCACUCUAUGUUGAGCUACUUGAAAUAGCUAAUGUGCUGUAUAUGCUGUUUCUAUUUUCUGGAGUUUGUUGCCUUUCAUUUUAGCAUAACUUAUCCAUAUUGUUCAUAUUAUUUUUAAAUAUCGGUAAUUAUAAUAAUAUAAAACAAAGUUGUGUUGUUGACAAGAGCCCUAGAUUUUAUGGUCUUCUGUCAUAUAAUUUAAGUGCACCAGUUCCCGAUGUAUAAAGUUUCUCUCUCUCUCAAUAAACAAUUCAGAAAAUA
This is a long non-coding RNA of Suricata suricatta (meerkat), 6770 nucleotides long. RefSeq lists it as uncharacterized. The record is from RefSeq and is a predicted model, not a curated record. NCBI's taxonomy places the organism in Eukaryota, Metazoa, Chordata, Mammalia, Carnivora, Herpestidae. The transcript has 3 exons.